Molecule: ribosomal RNA, 253 nt
Filed under: uncultured bacterium
Lineage: Bacteria
Description: partial 16S ribosomal RNA
Rfam family: Bacterial small subunit ribosomal RNA
Source: RNAcentral
UACGGAGGGGGCGAGCGUUAUUCGGAAUUAUUGGGCGUAAAGAGCGUGUAGGCGGCCAGACAGGUCCGUUGUGAAAACUAGAGGCUUAACCUCUAGACGUCGAUGGAAACCGUUUGGCUAGAGUCCGGAAGAGGAGAAUGGAAUUCCUGGUGUAGCGGUGAAAUGCGCAGAUAUCAGGAAGAACACCCGUGGCUAAGGCGGUUCUCUAGUACGGUACUGACGCUGAGACGCGAAAGCGUGGGGAGCGAACAGG